Non-coding RNA from Paramuricea clavata, 88 nucleotides. The record is from the annotation of a GenBank genome assembly. Lineage: Eukaryota; Metazoa; Cnidaria; Anthozoa; Malacalcyonacea; Plexauridae.
AUUAAGGUUUACUUUCACGUGUGUUUUCAAACUUUCACAAUUUGUGAAACUUUGAAAACACAAGUGAAAUUAAACCUUAAUUUUAUGA